UCGUGCUAGAUGGGGCGUUAGCGGUGCCCUGUAACCCGAAAUCCGCUCAUGCGGGGUUGAAAAUCCUUCAGGAGAGCCUUGAUCCAAGUUGACCCUCUGUCAUGUUUGGAGUUGACAUGGACCUCACGUAACAGGCGCUUACGAACCCCGUCAGGUCCGGGAGGAAGCAGCGGUAAGUAAGAAGGCCUGUGUCGUGAUGGUAUCUAUGUCCUUUCUCCGGGUGGCAAGGACGAUUCGGUCUCUGUUCGAAUAAGGAUGCACGG
This 263-nucleotide signal recognition particle RNA is filed under the name Desulfobacteraceae bacterium. RNAcentral's name for it is "signal recognition particle sRNA large type". It matches the Rfam family "Bacterial large signal recognition particle RNA". Rfam says of the family: The signal recognition particle (SRP) is a universally conserved ribonucleoprotein involved in the co-translational targeting of proteins to membranes. The record is from RNAcentral. Lineage: Bacteria; Pseudomonadati; Thermodesulfobacteriota; Desulfobacteria; Desulfobacterales; Desulfobacteraceae. RNAcentral also lists the same sequence under 1 other name.